Molecule: long non-coding RNA, 634 nt
Organism: Peromyscus eremicus (cactus mouse)
Lineage: Eukaryota; Metazoa; Chordata; Mammalia; Rodentia; Cricetidae
Exons: 2
Source: RefSeq, a predicted model, not a curated record
UCUGGUACUAGAAUAAGAAAUCCAACCAGACAGAGGAAAGGGGAGCUCUAGUCAGGAUACACAGCUCGUGACUGGCACCAAUUUAGCCAUCAAGCACUCUUAGCUCUACUUGUGCCAGGAUGUGGAAGGCCAGCUGCUGCCCAAGUGCCUGAGAAAAAGCCCAAGGAAAAAAACCGAGCACACUGUACAGUGGGGGUGGGGGCAACAAGUCAGGCUCACAGGACAAACAGCCCAAGGAACCCCUACCAGCCAAGUGCCACCCCAGAGCUUCCCUCAGGUUUUAUAACUGAAAACUACUUCAGCAUCCAGAAUGCAUCACUAGGAAGCUGCUGAUGACUUCAGCAGAGCAUCCAUGUGCAUGUGAUCCUCACAUUCCAGUGUGAUAAAAACUGUUGGGAGCCGAGGAUGCCCUGAGUGAAUGCAUAUUACUGAACAAAGACAGUGCCUCAGACCCAUGGGAACUGGCAAAGCCUUCCUCCUGUCUAUGUGCGAAUGUUGACACAGGGUACAAAAAGCAUGACUGUAGCUUGUUUACAGCCUGAGACUGUGCCCCUACAGAGACCUCCCACAGAGACUGGCUAUCCCCGCUUUCAUCAACUAUAAAUAAUAAAGGGGUAUUUGAUGCCCCAGCGCA